UACGGGGGGGGCAAGCGUUGUUCGGAAUUACUGGGCGUAAAGGGCGCGUAGGCGGCGCGAGUAGUCAACGGUGAAAGCCCGGGGCUCAACCCCGGGUCGGCCGUCGAUACUCUCGUGCUUGAGCACUGUAGAGGCAGGUGGAAUUCCGGGUGUAGCGGUGGAAUGCGUAGAGAUCCGGAAGAACACCGGUGGCGAAGGCGGCCUGCUGGGCAGUAGCUGACGCUGAGGCGCGACAGCGUGGGGAGCAAACAGG
This 253-nucleotide ribosomal RNA is filed under the name uncultured bacterium. Its description in RNAcentral is "partial 16S ribosomal RNA". It matches the Rfam family "Bacterial small subunit ribosomal RNA", at positions 524 to 776 of the family's 1533-position model. The record is from RNAcentral.